Molecule: long non-coding RNA, 1179 nt
Filed under: Homo sapiens (human)
Lineage: Eukaryota; Metazoa; Chordata; Mammalia; Primates; Hominidae
Description: HSALNT0361841
Source: RNAcentral
UAUAACCUAUGUAGCAAACCUGUACACGUACCCCUGAACUUAAAAUAAAAGUUAAAACAAAAUAAAAAAGAAGAUUUAAGGUUGGGACUAAACUCAGAACAAGAAAGAAGAAGCAUCUGUUGACAAGGCACAAUUUGAAAUUAGAGAGCUAUUUGUAAUUCUCUAUUCAUGUAAAGAAUGAUUGGAGUUUUUCUCUCUCUUUCUCUCUUGCUUGCCCCCCACCCCCACCACCACCCUGAGCCUGGGAAAUUAUUUUAGUGAGUUUGAGCUGUUAUAACCAACAUUUAAAAUAGCUAAAAUUUAUGUGGCACCCAUGGAAGACACAAUUUUUAGAGCAUGCAUAUUGUAAUUAUGAGGUUUGCUUAUUAAUCUUGAAAAUAUGAGAACCAAAGGGCAAAUUAUUUUACUACAUAUUUCUUCUCACUCCAAGGUCGUCAUGGCUGCCUCACUGUGCUCAGCAACUACAGGCAGAGUCCACCCCAUAUGAUCACUUUCUCAGUCUUCAUUAUCUGCCUGCAGGGCUCCUGCCAGUCAAAGUCAUUAUGCAGAAUUCCAGAUACUCAAGGUUGGAGAGCUACUAACCCAGUACAUGAAUUCCCAGUGUAUCUUUCAGUGUUCUGAACCUGUAUUUUACAUUUUCAGAAAAGUUGACCACAGAAGCAUGUUUAUAUUGUAUUAAAACAAACUAUUUUUCUGGAAAGUUUUCCCAUUAAGCGUCUAACCUCCAAGCAUCGAAUCCCAGGCCAAUUUGUUUCAAAGUACCAACCUGGAGAAAAUGCCCUGGAUUUGGAAGCAAAGUAUUGAAUGUUGGAAGUCUGAAUAAAGGAAUCAUACACUGUAUGUGCACCUGAAUGUACUUUACAAGCAUCAGUAGAACACUUCUGAUUGAAGCUUGGUCUUAUGAAGAUAAAAAUUUUAUGUGGACCACAGAUUCUCUAAAAAUCAAACUCCAAGUAGGAUCAACACAAAGACACCCACAUUCAGGUACAUCUUGUCAAAUGUGGAAAGGCAAGAAUGAAAUGAAAUGUUGACAGCAAGAGAAAAACAUCCCUUUAUAUACAGAGGAACCCCAGCAACAGUAACAGCUGAAUUCUUGUCAAAAGCAAUGGAGACCAGGGCUGGGAGUGGUGGCUUGCACCUGUAAUCCUAGCACUUCGGGAGGCCAAGGCAGGUGGAUCA